UCUCAAUUACCCGCACCUGCAUCUCAUCAGCCAUCUGCACACCUGGUCCUGAUCAUCACCUCUUCUCUUCAUAAGCUCUGACCUGACAUCCAUUCCCCGCUGGAUCGUUAGCAAUGAACAUCAUUCUCCCGGAACAUUCACCCACCCGCCUGGUCGUCGGUGGCUUCUGUGACAUCAUUGGAUCUGCCUAUUCACUCUCAUCAACUCACCUCUGCUGCCGCUCCGUCUCCUGGAUUAUUCUGUUUUCACCUUGACUCUUUCGUCUUGUCAAGCCUACCAGCGUGUUUUUAUUCAUGCUCCUAGUCGCUGUUUCUUAGCCC
RNAcentral lists this long non-coding RNA (320 nucleotides) under Salmo salar (Atlantic salmon). RNAcentral describes it as "lncRNA (ENSSSAG00000086866.1)". The record is from RNAcentral. Lineage: Eukaryota; Metazoa; Chordata; Actinopteri; Salmoniformes; Salmonidae.